GAUGAACGCUGGCGGCGUGCCUAAUACAUGCAAGUCGAGCGAACGGACGAGAAGCUUGCUUCUCUGAUGUUAGCGGCGGACGGGUGAGUAACACGUGGAUAACCUACCUAUAAGACUGGGAUAACUUCGGGAAACCGGAGCUAAUACCGGAUAAUAUUUUGAACCGCAUGGUUCAAAAGUGAAAGACGGUCUUGCUGUCACUUAUAGAUGGAUCCGCGCUGCAUUAGCUAGUUGGUAAGGUAACGGCUUACCAAGGCAACGCUGCAUAGCCGACCUGAGAGAGUGAUCGGCCACACUGGAACUGAGACACGGUCCAGACUCCUACGGGAGGCACCAGUAGGGAAUCUUCCGCAAUGGCCGAAAGCCUGACGGAGCAACGCCGCGUGAGUGCUGAGGAUCUUCGGUUCGUAAAACUCUGUUAUUAGUGAAAAACAUAUGUGUAAGUAACUGUGCACAUCUUGACGGUACCUACUCAAAAAGCCACGGCUAACUACGUG
RNAcentral lists this ribosomal RNA (497 nucleotides) under uncultured bacterium. RNAcentral describes it as "partial 16S ribosomal RNA". It matches the Rfam family "Bacterial small subunit ribosomal RNA", at positions 28 to 507 of the family's 1533-position model. The record is from RNAcentral.